Acanthochromis polyacanthus (spiny chromis) is the source of this 3525-nucleotide long non-coding RNA. RefSeq lists it as uncharacterized. The transcript has 3 exons. Lineage: Eukaryota; Metazoa; Chordata; Actinopteri; Pomacentridae. The record is from RefSeq and is a predicted model, not a curated record.
AGUAAGGUGCAUAGACUGUACAUAUCAUUUUCUUUAAUUUUCAUGGUCAUAAUGAGAGAUCAGUUGGCUGAUCUUAAAAUAAAUAAAUUAAUUGAAUUUUGUUAUAGAAUGUUAUAGUUUUGCGAGGUCAGGGGGCGGGGUUACUUGAUUGACAGUCCGGUCUGGAAUAAUUGACAGGUCCUAUGGAGGAGGCAGCUCAGAUUCUGCUCUCCUUGUUUGGAUUAACUCUGAUAUGAUCACUGUUGGUUUAUUUAUCGGUGGAGCAGCAGAACCCUUUCCACAGACAGCUUUCCUGCCCGUUGGCUUGUUUUAACCAGUUUUCUAUCUUCUGCUGAUUCUACCAACAGACACUGAAAGGACUGAUAGUUCGAUAAGUGUUUAUUUUCAUAUCGGUGCCGCUUUUAAUUCACUUUAUAUGCAGCUGUAGUGUCAGAUGUAAUGUGUGCCGUGCACUCCAGAUGUUGGUGUAGUUUAUUCUUGUGUGUGUUGACCAGACAAGAGAGUUAGCAUCCAGUAAAUAUUAGCUUUAAUGUUCGCGAUGCUAACCGAACCAGCUGCUCAGUCGUAGCCUGAUGCUAAUGUAGCAUUAAGCUAAUGAUGUUUGUGUUGAGUUUCAUGUAAACAGUUGAAGUGUGUUGUUUUAGCGUAAUCUGGUACAUUUAGUUAAUAGAACCUAUCAUGGAGACGAUGGUUCACAUUAAUGUAACAUUUAGAAAACCUAAAUGUGAUUAAAACAGUCAGAUUAAGGUUCUGUGUUGUCAGUGGUCCUGAACAUCUGCUGAGUGUCUGAAGUUAAACUGGAGGAAACAGUAAAUCUACUCUCGAGUGGUUAACAUUGUUUAAUGAUUGAUUCACACUGUAGUACAUCUUAUUGCAGAUUAGAAAAAUAACCUCCCAGAAUAUGUCCAAAGUAAUGAUGAACAUUACAGUUAUUACAUUUAAAUUGCACCACAGAUAAGAUGGAUAAUAAAAUCCUCUCCUAAAGCUAAAGUGACUACAGGCCUUUCUGUCUUUCAGUGCUUGGAAAAUAUAUAUGACAGAGAAAAUCUCUUCAGAGAUACUUUAAAAUCGACCUCUGCUGUUGAUGCUGAUACUGUGAUGUCUCUCUUCAUCUCAGGUGUCUCAUGUUCACUGUGAGGAUCUUCUGAGUGAAGCCAACAGAAGGAAAACCUCAUCUGGUUCAGGAGACUGAAUGGACAACAUCCUCAGUGAACCACUUCCUGUUGAGCUUUCACUUACAGAAGGACAGACCAACUGUUUCAGCAGUUUAUUAUUCUCUGUUCAGCAGACAGGUGCUCUGCUUUGGAGUGUGACGAUGUCGUCGGUGAUGUGGAGAGUGAAGUUUCCGUUUCACCCACAGCGUGCUUUAAGGCACCCAGAGUGAAAGUAGCAGUUCCUCUUUAAGGUCAAAGAUUGCAGCAUCUGAGGGCCUCUUCAAAAGAAGACGUAGUUGAUGAAGGCGUUCUGGAGCAGGGCCAGAAAGACCAUGACUAAGCAGCCUGGAGAUCUUCGACAGCGUCUCUCUCAGUUCAAAGGUCCCAGUCUAUCUCCCCACACAUCCACCAACCACUGGAACACAUCUCCAAAGUUCUGCUGAAGCUCAGCUUCCCUUCAGAAGAAGUGCCACCAGAUGAAGGAGCCUUUUGAGAGGCAGCUGGCAUCGUGAAUGGACUGUACUUUGGUCUGUUCCAAUCCAGCUUCAGCUCCAGAGACGGCAGGCGGGACGAGUCAACGGAGGCCGGGUGGACGAAGGCAUGCAGCUGAGUACAAUCCAGAAAACAACAGCGAAGUGCAGCGGCCCAGGUCCAGAACAGAGUAGCAUAGUAUGUCUCUGAGAAAACAUCAUAGUAUAGCCUUUGGUAUGAAAAAAUGCCAUCAUAUACAUCGUAUAUUGUACAAAUAACCAGGAAAGAGAUAUCCAUUGUAGAAUUGUAGUAAUUGUGGGCUGACUGAUUUACUGAUUAUCAGUAUUUUAAUUUUUACUGAUUUACAGUAAUAAAUACAUUUAUAAAUGGCACUACCUUGGCCCUGAACCUUUAUCUACCUGUGGACGCUCUGUCUUCUGGAGUGAUUUCAUUGGUUAUACAUCACGAAUAAAACUCCUUUAACUUAACAUCUGUAAACAAAACAAAAAGGUAUCAACAAAGUUUUCUGUUAGAGUUUGUGUUCUUCUAAGUUUAACUCCAAGAUUUUAAAUACUUUCAUUUAUGGCAAAUGAAUAUCUCCUCCAAAUGUCUCACUAAUAAUCAUUAUCCACCUUAGAAACCCACAAAGCACCCCUCUAUGCUCGACCACACUUCGUACAAAAUCUGCUUGGAAUCUUCCACUUCCUGUUUGUCAAAGUGGCCUUCUACCUGGACAGGUUUUGUUGGAGCUCAUGCAACAAACAUUUUGGGUAAGUGCUCUUUAAUAUGGAUGGAUGACACUGAAUUAGAGUCUGUUUUAAUGAGACUGAGUUCAGAUGUGUAGCUCUGUCAUUAAAGGGAUAGUUCGGGAUUUUUGACAUGAAUCUGUAUGGCAUCCCCAAUAUAUUCAUCGUCGCUGUCGUAGUCAGACAUGUUGUUAACUUUACGAGCAGUAAACAAAGUGAAACCUGCGCGACUGCCAGCUGGAGGCAGCGCGGAGUGAUAUGAAGGGAGAGAAAAUAGUGCCAAGCGUUUACGAGGUCUGACUUUUUGUGGACAACGGUUUUGUAAUGCAAAUAUAUCACUCUUUCGAACACAUGUUGGUUUGAGAAGAAAACGCUUUAUUUUCGUGACCCCAGCAAACUGGCCGGAUUACUUUCGUCUGGACCAAAACCGGACCGGAUCUCUGCUCACCGGACGCUGUCGGGGGUAAGUCUGUGUGAAUGCACAACACUGCUGACGGGGAUGCCAUACAGAUUCAUGUCAAAAAUCCCGAACUAUCCCUUUAAGUCAAAAAUUAUUUCUUAGAAUUCACGGAGAAAAGUCUGAAAUGUUUGCUAGGUUAGCGUCCCACAUGUUCUGUGGCUCAGCUAAAGCUAACUCUCUCCAACUUCUGGAUCUCUGGAGUUGCUUGUUGUUAAAAUGUCUUGCUAAAGGCGCAGAAGCUCAGAAAAUCUGAGAUGUUUGUUGAAAAUAAGCUCAUUCUCAAGUCUUAUCUGAACUGUCCUCUUUAGUUUGAACUUUCCCUAAACUUAGGAGUUAAUGACAGAGCAGCACAUCCAGACUCAGUUUCAUUUAUGUAGAGAUUAAACUUGAGUGUCAUUCACUCAUGUUAAAGUGCAGUUUUUCACAUGUUUGUUGCACAUGCCCCCAACCAAACCAGUCCAGGUAGAAGACGAUGUGAAGAGAAGCUCCAGAAGAUGAAUAUCACACAUUUACGUUGGAAAUAAAUGUCCUUUAAUUAGACAUUUUCAUGCAAAAGUUGGAUUUCCCUUUAAUGAUGUUCAAAACCUUGUUGAGUGUUUUGUUGAUGUUGGUUUCUAAAUGUUUUCUGACACUCAGCCCCAAAGAUUAAAAUCUUCUACGGCUCACAAGCUGCAACAAUUCACACAUUAUCAAC